This 21-nucleotide unclassified non-coding RNA is filed under the name Mus musculus (house mouse). RNAcentral's name for it is "oocyte_clustered_small_RNA4088". Lineage: Eukaryota; Metazoa; Chordata; Mammalia; Rodentia; Muridae. The record is from RNAcentral.
UCUUGAUUGAUCUAUGGCCAG